RNAcentral lists this ribosomal RNA (673 nucleotides) under Staphylococcus aureus. RNAcentral describes it as "bacterial SSU rRNA". It matches the Rfam family "Bacterial small subunit ribosomal RNA", at positions 1 to 656 of the family's 1533-position model. The record is from RNAcentral. Lineage: Bacteria; Bacillati; Bacillota; Bacilli; Caryophanales; Staphylococcaceae.
UUUAUGGAGAGUUUGAUCCUGGCUCAGGAUGAACGCUGGCGGCGUGCCUAAUACAUGCAAGUCGAGCGAACGGACGAGAAGCUUGCUUCUCUGAUGUUAGCGGCGGACGGGUGAGUAACACGUGGAUAACCUACCUAUAAGACUGGGAUAACUUCGGGAAACCGGAGCUAAUACCGGAUAAUAUUUUGAACCGCAUGGUUCAAAAGUGAAAGACGGUCUUGCUGUCACUUAUAGAUGGAUCCGCGCUGCAUUAGCUAGUUGGUAAGGUAACGGCUUACCAAGGCAACGAUGCAUAGCCGACCUGAGAGGGUGAUCGGCCACACUGGAACUGAGACACGGUCCAGACUCCUACGGGAGGCAGCAGUAGGGAAUCUUCCGCAAUGGGCGAAAGCCUGACGGAGCAACGCCGCGUGAGUGAUGAAGGUCUUCGGAUCGUAAAACUCUGUUAUUAGGGAAGAACAUAUGUGUAAGUAACUGUGCACAUCUUGACGGUACCUAAUCAGAAAGCCACGGCUAACUACGUGCCAGCAGCCGCGGUAAUACGUAGGUGGCAAGCGUUAUCCGGAAUUAUUGGGCGUAAAGCGCGCGUAGGCGGUUUUUUAAGUCUGAUGUGAAAGCCCACGGCUCAACCGUGGAGGGUCAUUGGAAACUGGAAAACUUGAGUGCAGAAGAG